AGUGAACGCUGGCGGUAGGCCUAACACAUGCAAGUCGAACGGCAGCACAGUAAGAGCUUGCUCUUACGGGUGGCGAGUGGCGGACGGGUGAGGAAUACAUCGGAAUCUACUUUUUCGUGGGGGAUAACGUAGGGAAACUUACGCUAAAACCGCAUACGACCUACGGGUGAAAGCAGGGGAUCUUCGGACCUUGCGCGAUUGAAUGAGCCGAUGUCGGAUUAGCUAGUUGGCGGGGUAAAGGCCCACCAAGGCGACGAUCCGUAGCUGGUCUGAGAGGAUGAUCAGCCACACUGGAACUGAGACACGGUCCAGACUACUACGGGAGGCAGCAGUGGGGAAUAUUGGACAAUGGGCGCAAGCCUGAUCCAGCCAUACCGCGUGGGUGAAGAAGGCCUUCGGGUUGUAAAGCCCUUUUGUUGGGAAAGAAAAACAGCAGGUUAAUACCCCGCUGUUCUGACGGUACCCAAAGAAUAAGCACCGGCUAACUUCGUG
This 492-nucleotide ribosomal RNA is filed under the name uncultured bacterium. Its description in RNAcentral is "partial 16S ribosomal RNA". It matches the Rfam family "Bacterial small subunit ribosomal RNA", at positions 29 to 507 of the family's 1533-position model. The record is from RNAcentral.